Molecule: ribosomal RNA, 342 nt
Filed under: Pseudopedinella elastica
Lineage: Eukaryota; Dictyochophyceae; Pedinellales
Description: partial Bacterial small subunit ribosomal RNA
Rfam family: Bacterial small subunit ribosomal RNA
Source: RNAcentral
GGAAGACUGAUCCAGCCAUGCCGCGUGCAGGAUGAAGGCCUUCGGGUUGUAAACUGCUUUUGUACGGAACGAAAAGACUCUGGUUAAUACCUGGGGUCCAUGACGGUACCGUAAGAAUAAGCACCGGCUAACUACGUGCCAGCAGCCGCGGUAAUACGUAGGGGGCAAGCGUUGUCCGGAAUGAUUGGGCGUAAAGGGCGCGUAGGCGGCCCGGUAAGUCUGAAGUGAAAGUCCUGCUUUUAAGGUGGGAAUUGCUUUGGAUACUGUCGGGCUUGAGUGCAGGAGAGGUUAUUGGAAUUCCCAGUGUAGCGGUGAAAUGCGUAGAGAUUGGAAAGAACACCA